UUAUGGCCAUAUCACGUUGAAACACCAGUUCUUGUAUGAUCACCAAAGUUAAGCAACAUUGAACCUGGUUAGUACCUAGAUGGGUGACUGGUUGGCUGUACCACGUGCU
Non-coding RNA from Acanthosepion pharaonis, 109 nucleotides. The record is from the annotation of a GenBank genome assembly. Lineage: Eukaryota; Metazoa; Mollusca; Cephalopoda; Sepiida; Sepiidae.